UAAGGGCGCACGGUGGAUGCCUUGGCACUAGAAGCCGAUGAAGGACGUUACUAACGACGAUAUGCUUUGGGGAGCUGUAAGUAAGCUUUGAUCCAGAGAUUUCCGAAUGGGGAAACCCAGCAUGAGUUAUGUCAUGUUAUCGAUAUGUGAAUACAUAGCAUAUCAGAAGGCACACCCGGAGAACUGAAACAUCUUAGUACCCGGAGGAAGAGAAAGAAAAUUCGAUUCCCUUAGUAGCGGCGAGCGAAACGGGAAGAGCCCAAACCAACAAGCUUGCUUGUUGGGGUUGUAGGACACUCUAUACGGAGUUACAAAGGACGACAUUAGACGAAUCAUCUGGAAAGAUGAAUCAAAGAAGGUAAUAAUCCUGUAGUCGAAAAUGUUGUCUCUCUUGAGUGGAUCCUGAGUACGACGGAGCACGUGAAAUUCCGUCGGAAUCUGGGAGGACCAUCUCCUAAGGCUAAAUACUCUCUAGUGACCGAUAGUGAACCAGUACCGUGAGGGAAAGGUGAAAAGCACCCCGGAAGGGGAGUGAAAUAGAACCUGAAACCGUGUGCUUACAAGUAGUCAGAGCCCGUUAAUGGGUGAUGGCGUGCCUUUUGUAGAAUGAACCGGCGAGUUACGAUUUGAUGCAAGGUUAAGCAGUAAAUGUGGAGCCGUAGCGAAAGCGAGUCUGAAUAGGGCGUUUAGUAUUUGGUCGUAGACCCGAAACCAGGUGAUCUACCCUUGGUCAGGUUGAAGUUCAGGUAACACUGAAUGGAGGACCGAACCGACUUACGUUGAAAAGUGAGCGGAUGAACUGAGGGUAGCGGAGAAAUUCCAAUCGAACCUGGAGAUAGCUGGUUCUCUCCGAAAUAGCUUUAGGGCUAGCCUCAAGUGAUGAUUAUUGGAGGUAGAGCACUGUUUGGACGAGGGGCCCCUCUCGGGUUACCGAAUUCAGACAAACUCCGAAUGCCAAUU
RNAcentral lists this ribosomal RNA (960 nucleotides) under Staphylococcus aureus. RNAcentral's name for it is "partial 23S ribosomal RNA". It matches the Rfam family "Bacterial large subunit ribosomal RNA", at positions 12 to 968 of the family's 2925-position model. Lineage: Bacteria; Bacillati; Bacillota; Bacilli; Caryophanales; Staphylococcaceae. The record is from RNAcentral.